Molecule: ribosomal RNA, 502 nt
Filed under: uncultured bacterium
Lineage: Bacteria
Description: partial 16S ribosomal RNA
Rfam family: Bacterial small subunit ribosomal RNA
Source: RNAcentral
AUUGAACGCUGGCGGCAUGCCUUACACAUGCAAGUCGAACGGCAGCAUGGGUGCUUGCACCUGAUGGCGAGUGGCGAACGGGUGAGUAAUGCAUCGGAACGUGCCCUGAAGUGGGGGAUAACGUAGCGAAAGUUACGCUAAUACCGCAUAUUCUGUGAGCAGGAAAGAGGGGGAUCGCAAGACCUCUUGCUUUAGGAGCGGCCGAUGUCGGAUUAGCUAGUUGGUGGGGUAAAGGCCUACCAAGGCGACGAUCCGUAGCGGGUCUGAGAGGAUGAUCCGCCACGCUGGGACUGAGAACCGGCCCAGACUCCUACGGGAGGCAGCAGUGGGGAAUUUUGGACAAUGGGCGCAAGCCUGAUCCAGCCAUGCCGCGUGAGUGAAGAGGGCCUUCGGGUUGUAAAGCUCUUUCGGUGGGGAAGAAAUUGCUUCGGCUAAUAUCCGGAGUAGAUGACGGUACCCGCAUAAGAAGCACCGGCUAACUACGUGCCAGCAGCAGCCGCCG